CCCUUAGAUGUUCUGGGCCGCACGCGCGCUACACUGAUGCAUUCAACGAGUUUCUUCCUGGUCCGAGAGGAAUGGGUAACCUUUUGAAAGUGCAUCGUGAUAGGGAUAGACUAUUGCAAUUAUUGGUCUUCAACGAGGAAUUCCUAGUAGACGUAGUUCAUCAGACUGCAUCGAUUACGUCCCUGCCCUUUGUACACACCGCCCGUCGCUCCUACCGAUUGAAUGCUCAGGUGAGACAUUCGGACUUUCAUCAUGCUGGUUUCCAGUUUUGAUGAAGGAAAGUCUUGCGAACCUUAUCAUUUAGCGGAAGGAGAAGUCGUAACA
This 324-nucleotide ribosomal RNA is filed under the name uncultured eukaryote. RNAcentral describes it as "partial 18S ribosomal RNA". It matches the Rfam family "Eukaryotic small subunit ribosomal RNA", at positions 1470 to 1796 of the family's 1831-position model. The record is from RNAcentral.